RNAcentral lists this ribosomal RNA (228 nucleotides) under uncultured bacterium. RNAcentral's name for it is "partial 16S ribosomal RNA". It matches the Rfam family "Bacterial small subunit ribosomal RNA", at positions 568 to 795 of the family's 1533-position model. The record is from RNAcentral.
CGCGUAGGCGGUCUUGUCGGUCAGAUGUGAAAGCCCGGGGCUCAACCCUGGAAGUGCAUUUGAAACAGCAAGACUUGAAUACUGGAGAGGAGAGCGGAAUUCCUGGUGUAGAGGUGAAAUUCGUAGAUAUCAGGAGGAGCACCGAUGGCGAAGGCAGCUCUCUGGACAGAUAUUGACGCUGAGGCGCGAAGGUGUGGGUAGCGAACAGGAUUAGAUACCCUGGUAGUC